Molecule: ribosomal RNA, 437 nt
Filed under: uncultured bacterium
Lineage: Bacteria
Description: partial 16S ribosomal RNA
Rfam family: Bacterial small subunit ribosomal RNA
Source: RNAcentral
AGCGAACGCUGGCGGCAGGCUUAACACAUGCAAGUCGAGCGGGCAUCCUUGUGGUGUCAGCGGCAGACGGGUGAGUAACGCGUGGGAACGUGCCCUUCGGUUCGGAAUAACUCAGGGAAACUUGAGCUAAUACCGGAUACGUGCGAGAGCAGAAAGGUUUAUCUGCCGAAGGAUCGGCCCGCGUCUGAUUAGCUAGUUGGUGAGGUUACGGCUCACCAAGGCGACGAUCAGUAGCUGGUCUGAGAGGAUGAUCAGCCACACUGGGACUGAGACACGGCCCAGACUCCUACGGGAGGCAGCAGUGGGGAAUAUUGGACAAUGGGGGCAACCCUGUUCCAGCCAUGCCGCGUGAGUGAUGACGGCCUUAGGGUUGUAAAGCUCUUUUCUCCGGGACGAUAAUGACGGUACCGGAGGAAUAAGCCCCGGCUAACUUCGUG